UACGGGGGGUGCAAGCGUUAAUCGGAAUGACUGGGCGUAAAGGGUGCGUAGGUGGUUAAUUAAGUUAUGGGUGAAAUCAUCGGGCUCAACCUGGUGCUGAAUCAUAAAACUGAAUAACUCGAGUAUAGUAGAGGGUAGUGGAAUUUCCGGUGUAGCGGUGAAAUGCGUAGAUAUCUGGAGGAAUACCGGUGGCGAAGGCGGCAUCCUGGACCGGCAUUGACGCUGAGGAGCGAAAGCCAGGGGAGCAAACGGG
Molecule: ribosomal RNA, 253 nt
Filed under: uncultured bacterium
Lineage: Bacteria
Description: partial 16S ribosomal RNA
Rfam family: Bacterial small subunit ribosomal RNA
Source: RNAcentral